This 637-nucleotide ribosomal RNA is filed under the name Pteris vittata (Chinese brake). RNAcentral describes it as "eukaryotic LSU rRNA". The stretch from base 232 to 385 matches the Rfam family "5.8S ribosomal RNA". Lineage: Eukaryota; Viridiplantae; Streptophyta; Polypodiopsida; Polypodiales; Pteridaceae. The record is from RNAcentral.
GGAAGUAAAAGUCGUAACAAGGUCUCCGUUGGUGAACCAGCGGAGGGAUCAUUACCGAGUUUACAACUCCCAAACCCAAUGUGAACCUACCUAUAUCGUUGCCUCGGCGGGACAGCCCCGGGUUUGCCUCUGCGCCCCGGAACCAGGCCCCCGCCAGAGGACCCCCAAACUCUGUUUUGUUUUGGUCUCUUCUGAGUCUUUGCCUUCCGGCAAUGAAAAAAAUACAAUCAAAACUUUCAACAACGGAUCUCUUGGCUCUGGCAUCGAUGAAGAACGCAGCGAAAUGCGAUAAGUAAUGUGAAUUGCAGAAUUCAGUGAAUCAUCGAAUCUUUGAACGCACAUUGCGCCCGCCAGUAUUCUGGCGGGCAUGCCUGUUCGAGCGUCAUUUCAACCCUCAGGACCCCCUUUCGGGGGGACCUGGCGUUGGGGAUCAGCGGCACGACGGGGUGUUUACCACCCCCGGAAGCUGGCCCCGGAAUACAGUGGCGGUCACGCUGCAGCCUCCUAUGCGUAGUAACAUACACCUCGCACCAGGGACUCUGCGCGGCCACGCCGUAAAACCCCAUCUUGUUUUAAUGGUUGACCUCGGAUCAGGUAGGAAUACCCGCUGAACUUAAGCAUAUCAAUAAGCGGAGGA